CUAAGAAUAUUCCGCAAUGGACGAAAGUCUGACGGAGCGACGCCGCGUGGAUGAAGAAGGCCGAAAGGUUGUAAAAUCCUUUUGCUGAUGAAGAAUAAGUGCGGGAGGGAAUGCCCGUAUGAUGACAUUAGUCGGUGAAUAAGCCCCGGCUAACUACGUGCCAGCAGCCGCGGUAACACGUAGGGGGCAAGCGUUGUUCGGAAUUAUUGGGCGUAAAGGGCAUGUAGGCGGUUUCGUAAGCCUGGUGUGAAAUCCUGCAGCUUAACUGUAGAAUUGCAUCGGGUACUGCGAGACUUGAAUCACAGAGGGGAAACUAGAAUUCCAGGUGUAGGGGUGGAAUCUGUAGAUAUCUGGAAGAAUACCGGUGGCGAAGGCGGGUUUCUAGCUGAUGAUUGACGCUGAGGGGCGAAAGUGCGGGGAGCAAACAG
This 428-nucleotide ribosomal RNA is filed under the name uncultured bacterium. Its description in RNAcentral is "bacterial SSU rRNA". It matches the Rfam family "Bacterial small subunit ribosomal RNA", at positions 355 to 775 of the family's 1533-position model. The record is from RNAcentral.